UACGAAGGGGGCUAGCGUUGUUCGGAAUUACUGGGCGUAAAGCGCGCGCAGGCGGCCAUUCAAGUCAGGGGUGAAAGCCCAGAGCUCAACUCUGGAACUGCCCUUGAAACUGUAUGGCUUGAGUAUGAGAGAGGUGAGUGGAAUUCCCAGUGUGGAGGUGAAAUUCGUAGAUAUUGGGAAGAACACCGGUGGCGAAGGCGGCUCACUGGCUCAUUACUGACGCUCAGGCGCGACAGCGUGGGGAUCAAACAGG
This 253-nucleotide ribosomal RNA is filed under the name uncultured bacterium. RNAcentral's name for it is "partial 16S ribosomal RNA". It matches the Rfam family "Bacterial small subunit ribosomal RNA", at positions 524 to 776 of the family's 1533-position model. The record is from RNAcentral.